UGACUGGGGCGGUCUCCUCCUAAAGAGUAACGGAGGAGCACGAAGGUUGGCUAAUCCUGGUCGGACAUCAGGAGGUUAGUGCAAUGGCAUAAGCCAGCUUGACUGCGAGCGUGACGGCGCGAGCAGGUGCGAAAGCAGGUCAUAGUGAUCCGGUGGUUCUGAAUGGAAGGGCCAUCGCUCAACGGAUAAAAGGUACUCCGGGGAUAACAGGCUGAUACCGCCCAAGAGUUCAUAUCGACGGCGGUGUUUGGCACCUCGAUGUCGGCUCAUCACAUCCUGGGGCUGAAGUAGGUCCCAAGGGUAUGGCUGUUCGCCAUUUAAAGUGGUACGCGAGCUGGGUUUAGAACGUCGUGAGACAGUUCGGUCCCUAUCUGCCGUGGGCGCUGGAGAACUGAGGGGGGCUGCUCCUAGUACGAGAGGACCGGAGUGGACGCAUCACUGGUGUUCGGGUUGUCAUGCCAAUGGCACUGCCCGGUAGCUAAAUGCGGAAGAGAUAAGUGCUGAAAGCAUCUAAGCACGAAACUUGCCCCGAGAUGAGUUCUCCCUGAGACUUAGAGUCUCCUGAAGGAACGUUGAAGACGACGACGUUGAUAGGCCGGGUGUGUAAGCGCAGCGAUGCGUUGAGCUAACCGGUACUAAUGAACCGU
Molecule: ribosomal RNA, 647 nt
Filed under: Salmonella enterica subsp. enterica serovar Senftenberg
Lineage: Bacteria; Pseudomonadati; Pseudomonadota; Gammaproteobacteria; Enterobacterales; Enterobacteriaceae
Also listed under: 1 other name
Description: partial 23S ribosomal RNA
Rfam family: Bacterial large subunit ribosomal RNA
Source: RNAcentral